UUGUCCUUCAACAGACUCCAUCCUCCUAUGCUGCUCAAACGAAACAAAGACACGAGUAACAAAGAUUCCAGGAAGCCUGCAUACUGCAGUCCACAACAACGCGUUCACAGCGACAGUCUCACAACUUCCCUGGCCGCAACUUCUUGAUGAUCGCAUUCGGCGGAACAAGAACUGCUGCAUUUCCAGCUUCACGACGCCCAAUUCUCCAUUUCAGGCAAGUACUUAUUAGAGACCAGAAAUAAAACAACAGGAUAACGCUACGCAGAGAAGAGUAAACAGUGCAAACACGACAAUCUUAUUUGGUAAUCAGGGAAGCUCGGAGUGAUAUUGAUUUGCAUGGCGUAACGAAUUCGUGUAGAAGAAGAAUUGACUCGAAGAAUGGACGUCAACGGAAUCAGUAAA
Ornithodoros turicata is the source of this 402-nucleotide long non-coding RNA. RefSeq lists it as uncharacterized. The record is from RefSeq and is a predicted model, not a curated record. The transcript has 3 exons. Lineage: Eukaryota; Metazoa; Arthropoda; Arachnida; Ixodida; Argasidae.